This 235-nucleotide long non-coding RNA is filed under the name Lathyrus oleraceus (garden pea). Its description in RNAcentral is "Pisum sativum (pea) long non-coding RNA (PSAT_LNC007441)". Lineage: Eukaryota; Viridiplantae; Streptophyta; Magnoliopsida; Fabales; Fabaceae. The record is from RNAcentral.
GAUAUCUUAUGACAUUUUGAGGUAAAAGUUUUAAUAGAUAUUAAAUCAAAAAAUAAUUAUUAAAUCCUCUAGCAAGUGGUCUUUUAUGUGCUUAGUGAAUUUAAUUUAUUAUCACUAACAUGUUUGUUUUUUAGAUAAAUUUAAUCUUAAGCAAAGGUUUCCAUGCAAAAAUGAGAAAUUAAGCAAAUAGGUGCAAUAUUGGUAAGAUUGGGGUGCUGAAAGAAAAAGGGGUCAU